UUGCGUAGGUGGUUUGUUAAGUGAAUAGUGAAAUCUGGGGGCUCAACCUCGCAGACUAUUAUUCAAACUGGCAAACUCGAGAAUAACAGAGGUAACUGGAAUUUCUAGUGUAGGAGUGAAAUCCGUAGAUAUUAGAAGGAACACCAAUGGCGUAGGCAGGUUACUGGGUUAUUUCUGACACUGAGGCACGAAAGCGUGGGGAGCGAAC
RNAcentral lists this ribosomal RNA (208 nucleotides) under uncultured bacterium. Its description in RNAcentral is "partial 16S ribosomal RNA". It matches the Rfam family "Bacterial small subunit ribosomal RNA", at positions 567 to 773 of the family's 1533-position model. The record is from RNAcentral.